CAAUGGUUAAACAGAGCGAGAUAACAGCUAAAACAUCACACGAUGAAAUAGAUUGUACUUGAGAUACGGAUAUCAUAGGUCAGAAGUUAAAAAAAAAACCAUACUCCUUAACUGCUGCUCCGGCAAUCGAAACCUUGCAGACUUCGCAAGCCACCCAAGUUAGGCAAGGCAAGCUAUUGCAAUGGUCAUCACAAACAGCGAACGGCAAAGCUGAACAGUCGAAAGACCCAUUCCUAAUUCUACUUACAUAGAGGCUCAGUGCUACGGUGGUCCAGGCGAUUUCGAAGCAUAGAUAUACGACCGUCGUCGGCAUUUGGCAAGGAGAAUUGGGUGAGGAGUCGGCGAGGAAAGGAAAAUGAAGCAUUUCCCGCGUUGCAAGAAACGGUAAAAAUAAAAGAGCGAGCAAGAGAGAGGGACAGAAGAUUGGCUAAGGAAGAUAAUCGUCGAAACUUCUCUUAGCCAUCUGCCUGGUCAACCUGUGAACGGAUGAAAGAGAAGAGGCUGAAAGGUCCCUUGGAAUGGACUGUACCAGCGAAUGGGAAUGAUUCGAAGUCAGCUUGUAAGGAAGUUGGAAGGAGCAAGUAUCCAAAUCAACAAACCAUAAAAUCUUGCGGAUUUGUCCUAUUUAUGCGAAGACUACCUGGAAGACGUCCAAUAUUAUUUCUCGUUCGUUGACACUACCUAAUGGUGCAACUGCCGUCCCCCUCAAACGUUUGCUGACUUCUGCAUUAUCCACGCUCGGACUACUCUUCCCCAACUGUCUUUACCCUGUGUUUUUCCUUCUUCUCUUCCGCGAUACCUCGAAUGGACUUGCGUAGCGAUACGAAACAGCGGGCACCGUCUAGACUACAGUCCUGUCCUUUGGUCUAGUGGUUACGAGUCUGUGGUUCGAGUUCUGCCUUCUACUAAGGCGUUGGCUAUAACCAGCCACGUAAGACUUGUUUCCCACUUCUGGUUACCCGUUACCCACCUGACGUUUGUCCCUCCGUCAGGAUGCCACUAACUUCAGGCCACCCUUACAUACAUUCCUCUCCCUGUCCUAUGCUCUCGGAUUUUCCCUUUUUUUCGUUUACAGACGUCCUUUGUAGCACGGUAUAUCACUCUGGGCGGUCUUUUGUGCUUUACUAACGUUCAUGUUUAUGGGGUUGGGGUUGCAUUGAUUCCUUGAGCAGUUCUACGGUGUCCGCAUGUUUUUCGUUGUUGUCAGAUGGCCAGGUUGUUCGCUAUUCUGACUUCACUGAACGAACCCACAACGGUGGUGGCCGGCCAAUGACAAUGGAUCGGUAGGCUACUACAGCCUGCAAGCUCCAAGGUCUACCCUUGUAGGCUCAACGGCUUACGGCCUCUAUAAAGUGCUGGCGAGCUUGAGUCGAGCAUGUUGAUGUGGAUAACCCUGCAACCACGCACGCAAACAUACGCUACGUUCCCUGCCUGCCUGUUUUGCUAAACGUAACAACAUAUAGAGUGAACUGUUAUAAGUUGGGCGGAAUCGGACCAUAACUUCUGUAUGUGCACUUCCCAUGAAAGCCUGAUCACAUGGCACAAUCAUCGAA
Long non-coding RNA from Varroa destructor (honeybee mite), 1553 nucleotides. RefSeq lists it as uncharacterized. The record is from RefSeq and is a predicted model, not a curated record. Lineage: Eukaryota; Metazoa; Arthropoda; Arachnida; Mesostigmata; Varroidae.